GGAGCCCGGCCCGGCGGUGGCUCUGGCUCUGGCGGGGACACGCCACCUGCCGCCGGAGGGACGAGCCGCCCGCCGCUGCCCGAGCUGCCGGUGCUGGCGAAGGGCCUGACUGGGUUGGGACCGCCCGAGCAUCUCUGAGGGAUUUUCCUGAAGUGGGUGAACAUCAAACACCGGGAGAAAAUGUUAACGCAUGGGAAAAAAGAAACAGAAAGCACAGCUGUGUGCUCUCUGUGUAUAUUUUGUAUAACACCUCAAGUGCAGAUAACAGAUAGUACAGGAGCUGCACUAUAAAGCAACUUUGUGAAAUGAUCCAGGUUUGCAGUUUUCGAGAGGAACGGAAUCAGGCCUUCCAUGAGCACCCUGAAACCGUACUGGCCAAAGUCACAAGUCUUCUGGGACUCCUCAGUUUACCAGUUCAGAAAUAAACAAAAACGUAAAGAACAGGAAAGAUGCAUCGACUGCACAGUAUUCUGACUGACCGGCAUUGUGGAGAAUGUUGUCUGAAUUUGCAAAGGGCACAAAACAAAGAUCAGGAUAAUUCUCAUAAGGAAUGGUGCAAAUCCUACUGUGUAACAGACUAACAGAAGACUGAAAUAGGAGGCUUUGUAUAAAGGAAAAUUUGGAUAUGAAUACAGUGACGAUUCUGACAGAGGUACACCUUGCUUUACAAAUUCAAAGCUUUCUUUGUUUUCUACCUUAUUUAAUUUCUUCCGUUCUGCUUCUUUGUCCUUCCUAUUCAAAUGUUCCUCUUUUUUUCAUUAUUUUUUUUUCAAAUUACUGUGAGCUUUAUUUUUCGUUCCCUUGUAACAUUUUGAAAGAUGAUUCCAUGGCACAGUUUUCUAGAGAACAAAAGCACAUUGUUGAGACAUUCCCUUUCCUGAGUGGCUGUAUUUUAUAUGAUUACAUUCCAACUCUGAGUAACAAUGUUAAUAUGAAAAAUUAUUCAUCCCAAUAAUAAAUCACAUAAGAUUUCUCUAAUUACUAGUAGGCAUGCUGUUGAACAUUACUUGAGUCCUUUGUGUGAAUUAACACGUAAGUGAAUACAUAUUAAACCAUGGAUUUUAAAGGCCAUAUACAGACACCACUUUUAUAAAGAUUAAGAAAUACCAAGCAAAAUGCAGCCACAUCUGUCAUGACCAAAUGAAACACAAUGUGAGUUAAUGCUGCCACGAACCAGGUCAGUCUGCCCCUUGGACACUUCCCAGAUUGUGCUGGUUGCUCCCAGCCCACUGGGUCUGGUCUGUGUUAAACUUCUGGAGCCUGAAGAGACUCCGGGUGCUUCAUUUGUGUUUGUAUUGUGGGGUGCAAACUUUAAUGUUUCCUUCUGAAACUGAGCAUACAGUCCAACAAACUGCCUCCUGUGCCUGUUGUUGGAUCUUUAGCCUCUUUGUUGCUUAAGCACAUUUUCAAGAAGAAUUUGAAGUGCAUGGACAUUUUGGGCUAUGUUUUAGUUCCUUGGGCAUACAUAGAUGUGAAAGCAAAGACUUAGUGAGCAGCAAUAAAAAAGAAGAUAAGAUCUAUCUUUGCUUACAAGGUAGCAGAUUUAUUGGUUGGAAAAUGGUAUCUAAAUGCAUUGUGCUUUUUUUCUUUCAAGUCACUGGAAGUCUGUUUGUUCAAUGUGACAGGACUCCUUCCUGCAAUUGCUCUACUUGCUUUGGGUGAAAAUCCCUAUGUAGGUUUGUCCUUUUAUUUUUUUAAGAUCUCAGCCCCUCUUCCAUAAGACUUCUUUAUUGUUGUCAUCACUUUAUGCAACCGGGUGAUCUGUAGCUUAAAUACCCCAUCGUUUUCUCCUGCUGCAGACCAGAAAGCAUGUUUUGUAAUACAUCUCCUUGUCCAAAAGAUAACAGCCAAAAUGUUAUGACCUUAUGCCAAUUUCCAUUGGAAUUCUGCUUCAAAAUGCAGGUAAAAAUAUUACAAAUGGGCUUACAAUCAAUGUUUUAGGUCUGAGUUAAACACAGUUCAUAAUCAGAUUACUCAGAUCCUUAUGACAGUUACAUGAGUACAAAUGUGUGCCACGUGGACACAGUAUAUUCAUAACAAUGUUUAACCGUCAUCUGAUUUAUCUGAUUGGAUUCUAUAUUAAACGAACCAUUUGAUAUUGAGGAGAACACCUGAUCUGAUUAGUAGAGUUUAUGGCAGAGAAGAUAUUACAACAAAGAGAGAUUCAUGAUAAGGACAUGUGCUUACAGUGCUCAUGAAGCCACGACUCAUGCUGAGACAUUUCAGCAAAACUUUCGCCCAAGAUGUAUAGCUCCUCUCCCAAUUUCCUUGUUUCCCUUUCUCUCUCCGUUCUUCACAUGAUGAUGAAAGGAGCUCUUUUUAUUCUUCUCCUGCCUCAACAUGUCCUGUUCUGAAGGCCUCCAAAGCACCAUUCUUGGGGCUAUGUUUUUCAAGAUUUCUUCCCCCAGUUCAAAAUUGAAGCUUUGCUGAACAGACAGGUACCAGCCUGGAAACAUCAUCUGCUGUUGCUGAAUGGAAUGUCGGAUUCUGGAUGCAAUCCUGUAUGGCCUGCUCACUGAAGAGUUUGCCCAAGAGAUUGCAGGGUCUUUUUCAGACAGUAACAAUAAUUCCAGACCUUUUUCCAGGGGACACCCUUGUGAUCUUGUUUAGCUCUUUGUUCAGGGACCUCUAGUGACUCAAAAGAUUACUCCAAUGAGAUUGCAAACAUGAAAAGGCUUGAAAGGUCUGUGUUUCAGACAUUUUAUAAAACUCUCUAUCCCUUUUUUUACAUUGUUUGUAGUCAAAAGAGAGAAUUUUUGAGGACACAGAGAGGAGUUGAGGUGACUAGACAAAUGGGUCUGACCAAAACUGACCGUGCCCGCAGGAAAGAACACUUAAACUGCCUGCAUUUUUUUUGUUGUUUUUUUUCCCUAUUUUAAUUUUGCUGCUGUGUUUGUCAGCAUAGCGAAGAGUGUUGUUCUCAGACAUCCAAAGGAAUAAAAGGAAAAAAAUGAUGGCUAGCAUUUAGAGGUUGAUCCUGUUAGCUGCUGGGCUGAAAGCCUCUUAAAAGGGCUAAAACCUUCAGCUCCUUUUGAUUUGAUUAAGUGCACUAAUCAUCUGUUCCAACUUAGGUCAGUGAGACACACGGUUACAAACACUUUGCAGACUGUUUUCUGUAUCACUCUGGCCAAAGCCACAGUAAAGCCGGGCUGAGACGAGCAUCUGUGCGAGACGCUGAGGUGAGAAAUUGCUUCUCAGGAACCAACGUAGCUCUUAAUUAACUAACCCACCAACCGACUUCUGCUGCUGCCACCUUUAACCACAAGAGGGGACACAGGGAGCGAAGUAUCAGCAAGACAGCUUGCCACAGCUCUGCUCAUUACUCUGCUUAUUACUCUGCUUGUUCAUGUAUCCCAUGGGGGACUGAAGCAUUUAUUCUGUGAAAAUAUGAAUUCUAAGUUCCUUGGAGAUGCCUUGAAGAAAAUCUUUCAGUUAAAGUUGCAUCAGACUUACAUAUUUGGCAAAUAAUCCCAUAUCUUUAACCUUUAGGAAGAUGUCUGGAUUUUGAUUAAAUAUUUUACAUUAGAGUUUUCCCUGUUCUUGAGUCACUGAAUUUAAGCACCUUCUGAACUGAACUAGAAAUGUGUUUUAAGUCUCUGUUAGCUUUGGCCACCAAAAUACAUUUUAUAAUUCCAUAUUAGUAAACGCCACCGUGGUAGAAUAACUUUACUUAAUGUAUUUGACAUGUAUAUGACAUGGUAAUAUUUAGGGUAUAUAAAAAGUCUUUGGUUUCAAAGCAAUUUCCUCAAUUUAAGUAGCUACAGUAUAAAAAUGAUUAAUCAUAUUCUAUCUUUUAGUAUGCAUGUGUACAACCCUUGUAACACUUUCAGAUAGUGUUUUUUCCAUGUUUUAAAGUGGUUGUGGGCAACAUUCUAUUUAUGAAUUAUCUUGGAACUUGCUAGUUCCAUUUAGAAAAAAAUGGAGCUUGGAAUUAUGUGUAUUUGCCAAAACUGCCAAAACCAACUAAAAUAAGUUAUCUGAAAAUUUAUUUAGAAUAAAUAAUUCCUGAGGUAAACAUUGGCUAAAUUCUCAAAAUGCGCCAUGGUUGCAUUGGCAAACAGUCAGGCUGCUACAGUUGUUUCCAACAGGUGGGUAUGCUUGUGAUACAGCCCUCUAUUUAGCAGUCUUUUCAAGACAAGAUAGAUGUUUUUCUCCUAAACAUGUUAUUCUUAGGAGGUGGAUUUGCACAUUGAGAGCAAUGAAUUAUUGAAAAGCACUCUAAUGGUUCACUCUCCAUUUGCAACAAAUCAAAUGACUGAAGAAGAAAUUGUAUUACAAAUAUUUCUGAGAAAGGGCUUUCCUCAUGAAAGAAAAAUUGUUUGUAUUCUAAUGACAAAAACUAUUAUUAAGCUAAAUGAUGUAUGUAGUGAGUAGCAAACAGAAAGUGGUAGAAUACUGGUAGGUGAUGAGAAAGCAAUUCAAUAGCACGGUGACAUUAGAAAUUACUUUACAUAUCUUUAUGUACAAUAGAUUUACUUUAGUUGAAAACCACCUACUCUUGGAACGAACUUCUCUUUGGACAGUUGUGAUUUGGCAAAAACAGUCCUAGGAACGUUAUGUCCUGGGAUUGUUGAUGUGUGAAAGUCCUCUGGAUGUCCUCAUCCCUCAUAAAACAAACUGUUGGCUCAGAUUAACUUACUUUCUCAGCUUGUCUCUCCUACUAGGAUCAUAGCUGAGCUGGUUCCUCUUGGGGUGUCGGGUAAGAACUGUUGCUUCUUCAUCUUUUGCUCACCUGAUAGGAGCUGUAAGUGCUCAUCUCUCUCCCAGUUUUCUUCUCUAAGCACCUUCCUAUCUUCCUGCCAGAUAACCUUCUUCUCUUCCAUUCCUAAUCCGAGAGAUCCCACUAGGUUUAGCUUAUUGACAGGUUUGCCACAAGUUUGUUUUGUUUUGUCUUGUUUUGUUUUGUUUUGUUUUCCCAUGUAAUGUUACAUCCAGAGAUGUGGAAAAAGAAAGAAAAAGAACAGUUGUUUUCUUCAAACGUUGCAUAAAGACUUUAACAGGAAUAGAUAAAACACCUUUAAAGUUACCCUGUCUUCAGCUUCUCUGGAUGUGUCUCUGCCUAGAAUUUCUCAGUCUUGCUCUUGAUGUUUAAAUAAACAAUAUACCUGUCCUUCCUUGUAUCUGCCAAAGACAAGGUGAAAUGAUGUAGUACCUAAAUUUAAAACAGACGAAGUUAUAUGGAAAAUAUGCAUUUGUCAUACAGAUAAACAUUUUUGAAUGCUGGAAUUAGGACCAGAAUUUUAAGGGUGUUAAUUACCUAAAGACACAGAGAAGCACAGAACAAAGUAUUGAGGUUUCUUGGUGUAUGUCUGGCUCCCAGUCACGUUAACUGGCACUGACCUACAGUCCCUGUGUACUUAUAGAGUACACCUACAGUCAGUUACCGUCAGAAAUCUAGUGCUUAGCUCUCUUGUAAGGUUAACUAUGUUGUUAAUGACAAAGAACAAAAUAAAACUAAUAAACCCUGAAUCAGAAAAUCACCAAACUGGAAGUCUGAAUUAUUUCUUAUUCAUCGAAUGACCUCUAGUGGUCUUCACAGCUUUUACAGCAGUUGAAACGCCAGCUCUCGGAGCAUUCUAGAGGAGAUGAGGAUCAGCUUUCCCAAAACUGUGCACUAUGCACUUUUGCUCUACCCUGUCACUAUUAAAAUAAUAUUUUAUUUCACUUUACAAAGUGAACACCCUGUGAACUUUGUGGGAGUUUUAGGCCAUAUUCUAGUAUCUGCACUGCCCCUGGCUGGCUGUGUUUCUUAGCCAGUACCUCCCUUGAUCUACCUCCCUUGAACUUUGUCAGACACAGCCUUCCAUGGGCCAACACAGCGUUGCUGUGCACCCUGCCACCUUGUAUGACACCUGUUCAGCUUCUCGUAACAUCAGUGUAUUACCCGGAACUGGCCACCAGCUGGCAUCUCUCACUGCUGGCCAAAAUGGACCACAUCGUUCUGAACGCUGACAGCACACCAAGUGAGUUUGUCUGUCUAAAGAGCAAGCUCAGCAGAUGGAAUUCUUGCAACAUAAUUGGGAAGAGAGCUCUAAUCCUCAGUAUUGUGGGACAUGAAAAGAAACCUGAGUUGAAUGUUCAGCAGUAUGUCAGGAAACAAAUGGUAUUCUCAUCACGCAGGGUUUUUAUUAGCAUUUCUGCUGAUCUUUCUGGGGCUUCUUUAAAUAGCCAGGCCAGAUUGUUCUGCCGGACAUACAUAUCAGUCAAAAUAUUAAAGAAUAUAUUAAAAGCUUUUGCUAAAGACAGAGAAUGGGUUCCCCGAAGUAUCUCCCCUAUUCCCAUCUUUCUCAAAUAUGGGAGUUACACAGGACUUCCUGCAUUUGUGUAUUUUGCAUGUAGAUGAACAUAUCUUGUCUGCAAUCCAAGUUGCAUUACAGGUGAAGUAUCCACAUAUUAAUUUUGUUAGGUAGUUUUUGGUGGUCAUCUUGUUCACUGCACAAACCUUGUGACAGAAAAUAAAUCUCACCUCCAACAGGAGACCACUAAGUAACAAAUUUAUGGUUAGGAGCUGCUCGAGAUUGCUUCAUGGUCCUACUUCCAGUGUUGAAAAACAUUUGGGAAGAGCUUGAACCAAUGCUUGAUUUGUUUAAAAGGCAUUCUGAAGUUCUCACUUAACAGAAUGGUCUCAAAUGAUUUUUGUGAGCAUUAAAGUUUGGAAACAAUCCUGACAGAACAGUGAUGAGCCUUUUCUAUGCAGGGAGCAUCAUCUACAUUGAAGAUGAUAUCUUUCUCAAAAAAGAAAACAACAACAACAAAAACCUACAGACAGUCUGCGUGACUACUGGAGUUACACUGCUCUGGCUAUUUUUCAGUUAAAAAAUAUUGAAGAGAUACAUCUUUACAUGACCGUGACAUGUCAUCAGAAUUUGAGCAGAAUGCUUGCCAGAGAAGCAAUUCCAGUAUUAAAGGAAUUUGUACCCAAAUUUCUGGUUUUAUUGGAAGUGGCUAUAGUAGGUGGAUUCUAGAGAAUGCUUCAAUAAUACAUGCACCUUAAAGAUAAUAUUUACAGGUAUGGCAUUUCUGGGUUUGUAUAUCAGUCACAUAGAAGUAAAAGGUCAGUCUUUAAUGACAGAAUUCUUUGUCUGUAUUUGUGUCUAAUUCAUAGAUUGCUUUUAUGUUAUAGCUGAUGUCUGGAAGCUACUCAAAAUAACCUUGUCUAUUUUUGAACAUCCUAAAGUUUGACUUAGCUCUGUUGUUUCAAUUGACAUCUUGGAAUAGAUUGCCUGGUGAAACAGUAUAUUAAAAAGUAAAUAUCAGACAGCAUAAUUUUUUAAUAUUAUUAUUUUUUUCUUUAAAAAGCUGAUUUUUCCUUGUGAAUUUGUACAUUUCUUUGGACCAUAACCUAAGAUGAAAUCUUCUCAUCUUUUUUUAAUGUGGCCAGUAGGUCAGAUUUUACUGGAUAUUGAAACUGUAUGGUACUAUGCAUUUCUCUGUUUGAUAACAUUAAAUAAUGCACAUGGGGACUCUUACUGUAGGUUUGGGAUUGUUUGGUAUUGGUAUAACAGGCUGUGCAGAAGCUAACUCAGUAGAGAAUUAUUUUCUAAGGCAUUAUCCCUCUGUAGAAUUGAAAGGAUUUCCUUGAGUUGGUGUGGUCAUAAUCUCCACAUCUAGAAGUUGCUCUGGGCUGUCAGUCCUUCAGUGGUAUUAUGUGAGUAUAGGCUGCUGUGUCUAGAACUUUGUCUGUGCUCAAAGCCUGGUUUUCUCAACCUUCACAUCAGAUUUCAACACAGUUUCUUUAACUAGUCCCCUGCUGCCUAUGAAGGUUUUAGUAAUUCCUUUUUAACAAGUCCCUCCGUUUUUAUGUAAUUUCCCUUUUUUGAAAUCAAGCACAACACUGGUCGAUGUUUGGGGUUUGUUGCUCCUGCAAGAAUGUUAAAUGUAUAUUUAUUAUGGUUGUUUAUUAUUAUGUAUUCAGCAUCACAAUCAACUCAAGAAUACUAUAGCCUGAUGAUAUUAUGUCUUUCUCUUACCAGACUUCAACAUUUACUAAGGCAUGUACAUUUACACAGCCAUACAGCACAUUAGCUCCAUAGAGAAGGGUUGCAAGAGCACCUGCUGCCAUGAGAACAGUUCUUGAGCUCAGGUUGGAAGCGGAUUCAGAAAUAACAGCAAUUCAUCAGAGAUUGUUUAUUGAUUUGAAUUUCACUAUGGAGUCCCACAGACAUUUACUUUUGAAGUUCAGAAAGCACCUGGCUUGGGUGUUGAAAUCAAUCCAUCGUGAAAGAUUUCAGGAAAGUGGAACUGGAACUUACUCCUUAAUAGCCAUGUAGAACUUACAUAUAACCUUAUAAAGAAUUCAUAGGAUGUUCAUUUUCCCCAAAUCUUUGUAUAAUUUAACAUAUAUUUGCUUCCUAUGGUUAAGGAAUGCUCUUCUCAUCUCUGUCUUUAAUAGUUUAAGGAGGUUAAGAUGUUGGAGAGGCAAAAUGCAUGGGCAGCUCUGGAUGAACUUAUAUGUCAAACUUCUGUACACCAAAAACACAUUUGCAUUUUCACUGAAGCAGCAUUGACAAGACCUGAUGAAAUAUGACCUACGCAUGUGACAUUAGCCUCUGUAAAAUAUGUAAAUGUCGGUAUCUGCCUGAUAUACCUCAUCUACGGACAUGGAUUUGCUAUACAGUUAGUAUUUUACUAUAUUAUAUAUGCAUAUGUAUGUAUACUUUAUUUUAGAAUGUUAGUGUAAUCAUAAAAGGUGAUCUGUUUUAGGAAUUGCUGUUUAGAAAUUAUUUUAUUACCUCUAAGAUUAUGACAUCUGUGUCUGACCACUGGUGUCUAUAUUUGCAGUCACACUUCAUAUUUCACUAGUAUAUGGCCCACUCGUCUUUUUUUUUUGCGUUAUUUUGUGGAAGGAAUCAUGCAGCUCCAUGUAUUCAGUCUGUUUGGGCAGUAUUACACAUACAUCUUGAUUAAUAAACAGCAUUUUCUUCUCUUGUGA
Molecule: long non-coding RNA, 8932 nt
Organism: Columba livia (rock pigeon)
Lineage: Eukaryota; Metazoa; Chordata; Aves; Columbiformes; Columbidae
Exons: 5
Source: RefSeq, a predicted model, not a curated record